Long non-coding RNA from Camponotus floridanus (Florida carpenter ant), 512 nucleotides. RefSeq lists it as uncharacterized. The transcript has 2 exons. The record is from RefSeq and is a predicted model, not a curated record. NCBI's taxonomy places the organism in Eukaryota, Metazoa, Arthropoda, Insecta, Hymenoptera, Formicidae.
UAUAAUCCGGCUCGAAGGACCAAAAAUGUUCGCGAGUAAGCGCGGAUUGCUGCGACAGCGCGAGAUUUUGAAGACGCGGCAGACGGAUAGUCGCGAACAAAGUAUUUGACACAAAACUUCACACGACACGCACAGAAAGAGUAAAGAAAAGUCCGAGAAAGAAAGCGGUCGACGUAAUUUGCGGUUGAACAAUGCGGUUUUCUAAGCGGUUUGAAAUACUGCGAGCAGCGAUAAGUACGAGACUUCGAAAAGUGCAAGACUUGACUUGGUCCACGCGCGGUGCCCAUUAUAAAGCGAGCGGAUUUUGGGCCCGCUUCGACGUGGACCAAUUAAUUUCAUAAUUUAGCGGUGACACUGUUGCGGCGUGUGCCAUUGGUCGUUAAUGACGUCUCACGAUGGAUGUCGUUUGUUUUUCGUGUGCGCAAUCCUUUUAGAUCAGCUGAUUGGCGAUCAGCUGAUCGUGACGCAUGGGCGCGCAUGCCCAUGAGCGGAGUAAUUUUGACGGCGGUUGA